UCCAGACUCCUACGGGAGGCAGCGGUGGGGGAUAUUGCACAAUGGGGGGAACCCUGAUGCAGCGACGCCGCGUGGGUGAAGAAGCGCCUCGGCGCGUAAAGCCCUGUCAGCAGGGAAGAAAAUGACGGUACCUGAAGAAGAAGCCCCGGCUAACUACGUGCCAGCAGCCGCGGUAAUACGUAGGGGGCAAGCGUUAUCCGGAUUUACUGGGUGUAAAGGGGGCGCAGACGGCGAUGCAAGCCAGGAGUGAAAGCCCGGGGCCCAACCCCGGGACUGCUCUUGGAACUGCGUGGCUGGAGUACGGGAGGGGCAGGCGGAAUUCCUGGUGUAGCGGUGAAAUGCGUAGAUAUCAGGAGGAACACCGGCGGCGAAGGCGGCCUGCUGGACCGUGACUGACGUUGAGGCUCGAGAGCGUGGGGAGCAAACAGGAUUAGAUACCCCGGUAAGC
RNAcentral lists this ribosomal RNA (448 nucleotides) under uncultured bacterium. RNAcentral describes it as "bacterial SSU rRNA". It matches the Rfam family "Bacterial small subunit ribosomal RNA", at positions 330 to 794 of the family's 1533-position model. The record is from RNAcentral.